UGUGUGAGGUCAUCUGGCUAUGACAUCUGAUCAUUGUGACUGAUCUGGCUGACUUUGAUGGAUGGGCAGGUGCCCUUCCUUCCCUCAUCACUCACUGUGCAUCCCUUCUGAACUUGGAGAAGCUCAGAAUGUGAAGAUGACCUUCCCAGAGAGAAAACUGUUCUUCUGCCACAAGUACAAUAACGUUCCCUCCCUAAAACCUCCAAACAAGCUCUCAAGGAAGUAGGUCACCGGUAGACUGUCCAUGGGUCAUCUUGUUCUGGCUCCUGCCUGUCUUU
This 278-nucleotide small RNA is filed under the name Microtus ochrogaster (prairie vole). RNAcentral's name for it is "7SK RNA (ENSMOCG00000005494.1)". It matches the Rfam family "7SK RNA". Rfam says of the family: 7SK was discovered as an abundant small nuclear RNA in the mid-70s but a possible function has only recently been suggested. Two independent studies have found that 7SK RNA binds the CDK9/cyclin T complex (known as elongation factor P-TEFb). Lineage: Eukaryota; Metazoa; Chordata; Mammalia; Rodentia; Cricetidae. The record is from RNAcentral.